CAAUCUGGAGGUGGCCGACCGGCGCGACGGGUGAGUAACACGUAUGCAACCUGCCUAGUAAGCGGGGAAUAACCCGUUAGAAAGACGGACUAAUACCGCAUAAUACUAAAUUACUGCAUGGUAAUUUAUUUAAACAUUUUAUGGCUUACAGAUGGGCAUGCGCAUGAUUAGCUAGUUGGAGAGGUAACGGCUCCCCAAGGCAACGAUCAUUAGGGGUUCUGAGAGGAAGGUCCCCCCACACUGGUACUGAGACACGGACCAGACUCCUACGGGAGGCAGCAGUGAGGAAUAUUGGUCAAUGGACGAGAGUCUGAACCAGCCAAGUCGCGUGCAGGAAGAAUGUCCUAUGGAUUGUAAACUGCUUUUGCAGGGGAAUAAAGUGCAUCACGUGUGAUGUUUUGUAUGUACUCUGCGAAUAAGGAUCGGCUAACUCCGUGCCAGCCGCCGC
This 448-nucleotide ribosomal RNA is filed under the name uncultured bacterium. RNAcentral's name for it is "bacterial SSU rRNA". It matches the Rfam family "Bacterial small subunit ribosomal RNA", at positions 77 to 518 of the family's 1533-position model. The record is from RNAcentral.